Molecule: non-coding RNA, 125 nt
Organism: Hordeum vulgare subsp. vulgare (domesticated barley)
Lineage: Eukaryota; Viridiplantae; Streptophyta; Magnoliopsida; Poales; Poaceae
Source: Rfam
UUAUUACUUCCUUCGUCCGAAAAUACUUGUCAUAUAAAUGGAUGUAUCUAGAUGUAUUUUAGUUCUAGAUAUAUCCGAUUUUAUUUAUCUGUGCAACAAGUAAUUUCGGACGGAAGGAGUAUUAA